UCAAUAAAAUUUGUUGUAACUUAGAAAUCUAGGCUUAUUUCGAAUUUAUCUCAAAUUGAGAUCUAAGAUUAAGUAUGAGUGUUUUUGGAUUGAUGACAAGAGUUUUAACCAUUAUAAUACGUUUCUUUAUAAUUGUAGGAUUACUGCUCAUGGAGGCUAAUUGAUCGGCAUUGAGACAAAGAAAAAGUUAGUUUUCGUUUCAGAUUAUGAUUCUAUUUUUUUAGUUAGUGUUUUUUCUUUGUUGCUUUUAAUUGAAUAUAGACAUUUGUUGGGCAAUUGUUUAUGUAAGUCAAUAUGAGAUAGACUUAGAGGAGUAAACACAAUUGUUUAUGUACGUCAACAGAGCGAUUUGAGUAACGAGAAUGAAAAGAGUCUUUCUGUUGUUUUAAUCAGCUUUUGAUAAUAUUUAUAAAAUAUUCGACUUGAUCUGUUAAUUAAAUAAUUUGAAAUUCAAGUAUCAGUUGUUCUUAUACCAAAUUACAGUUUUAGCAGUAUAUUUUUGUAAAUGAAGUGAAGAUUAUAAAGUAUUAUAUGUUUAUAGCUUCUUUUUUUGGUUAACUA
Molecule: small RNA, 561 nt
Filed under: Arabidopsis thaliana (thale cress)
Lineage: Eukaryota; Viridiplantae; Streptophyta; Magnoliopsida; Brassicales; Brassicaceae
Description: ATSL079480
Source: RNAcentral